This 211-nucleotide ribosomal RNA is filed under the name Acinetobacter baumannii. RNAcentral describes it as "partial 16S ribosomal RNA". It matches the Rfam family "Bacterial small subunit ribosomal RNA", at positions 1323 to 1533 of the family's 1533-position model. The record is from RNAcentral. Lineage: Bacteria; Pseudomonadati; Pseudomonadota; Gammaproteobacteria; Moraxellales; Moraxellaceae.
AAGUCGGAAUCGCUAGUAAUCGCGGAUCAGAAUGCCGCGGUGAAUACGUUCCCGGGCCUUGUACACACCGCCCGUCACACCAUGGGAGUUUGUUGCACCAGAAGUAGCUAGCCUAACUGCAAAGAGGGCGGUUACCACGGUGUGGCCGAUGACUGGGGUGAAGUCGUAACAAGGUAGCCGUAGGGGAACCUGCGGCUGGAUCACCUCCUUA